Molecule: transfer RNA, 64 nt
Filed under: Matsumuramata muiri
Lineage: Eukaryota; Metazoa; Arthropoda; Insecta; Hemiptera; Delphacidae
Description: tRNA-Pro
Source: RNAcentral
CAGUUGAUAGUUUAAUUUUAAAAUUUUAAUUUUGGAUAUUAAAGAUGUAUAUUUAUUUGACUGA